RNAcentral lists this long non-coding RNA (3189 nucleotides) under Daucus carota (carrot). Its description in RNAcentral is "long non-coding RNA (DCAR_LNC001951)". The record is from RNAcentral. Lineage: Eukaryota; Viridiplantae; Streptophyta; Magnoliopsida; Apiales; Apiaceae.
UAUUAUUGUAUCUCACUCGCUCGUUAUAUUCCUAGGGUUCCCGUGUCCUAAGAAUAUAACUACCGCUCUGAUACCAAAUCAGUAACGCCCCCAGAUCCAUAUAUCUCGGAUCUAGGCCGUCACAUUAUUAUAGCAUACCUGACUUCCAAUACAUAGCUCGCCCCACAAGUCCAGGGUCGAUCUUACACUUCCACGCAGUCUAUUAUAACAUUACAAUGAUAAGUUCAAAAGUACAAUCUACCAUUAUUAUAAUCCUAAAACAUUCUCGUUACGGGAACAAGUCUUCGCACCCUUCGUGCCACAGCCUCACGCUUUGCCCUUGAUUUUUGCUGUUAUAUGCUUCCGAAUUACCCUUCUCAUUUGUGCCAUUUUCUGUCUUUACUGUUAAAGGAAAUAAAGAGUUGCAAGUAUGAGCAAUUUAAUGCUCAGCAAGUUCACAGUUCAAGUGCAAACAUCACAGAUUAGGUAAAGGAAUUUAAGCAGAUAUAACAAUUAAGCAGAUUCAAAAUGAGAGCUGCAGAUAAUCAUAUAUUGAACUCAAGAAAACAAAGAAUAACAAUAAUACUGGUCUCCAUCCUUGAUGGUUCCACCAUAUGGCUCGAUCACCGCCACUAAGUAGAUACCACCCCGUGUCACCUUCGCAGUCUGAUCGCGACUUUCGAAUGGCAGCACACAGUUUCCCCCGUUUAUUUGCUAGCAUAAGGGUUAUCACUUUCAACCCUUAAAGUUGUCCCACACAUAGGGCCAACAGACAUUUCCACUCUUCCACGAAUGCAAAUCAUUCGUGUUGACCAGUUUAUGAAAUUCAUUCCCCGAGUACAAAUUGGCUCACUUCAUAUUGAAUAAAUCUUCCCCUUUCCUCACAAGAAUGCGAACAAAUGCAUCCUCACAAUUCAGAAUUAAAAACUUCUCGGCCGGAUUACGAAGAAACAGUAAUCCGAUCACAACAUCCCAAGAACAAUAACAUAGAACCGAACAUGGUUAACGAUCCUUGUAUAAAAUCGAUUAAUCAUAGUUCGAAUUAAAGAAUAGAAGUUUAACAGAUUGAACGAGAAUAAGAAACUAGGAGAGGACCUCGAUAAUCAAGCAAAUUAUCCCCUUUAAAGUAUAUAGAAAGAAUAAUCAGUUAUCUGAAGAAGACAUCAAAAGCAUAAAAUUCGCAAGAAUUACGAAUCAAAGUUCGGGGUCUCGACAAUUAAAAUGUCGAUGUUAGCGAAUAAUCAAGGUUUAGAGAGAAUUCAACUGAGUUAUUCUUGCAUUGAUAUAAUAACUCAAAGAUAUAAACAAGACUUCUCGAAUAUGAGCAAGGUUAGAAUUAAAUAUCGAAUAUGAAUUUCUGUAACGAAAUAAAGAUUACAAAAUUGGAUAAUCAUCUCAAAAGGAGUGAUAGGUUAAAGAUUUGAAAAUUGACGAUAUUUGUGAUUUUACAAAAUAAUGAGUCAUCCUGAACAAUAGGUGGACUCAGUAAUGUAGAAAACUGUUUGAAUAAUAUUCUGAACGAAUGUCAAAUCUUCUAGUAUCCGUCUCUUCCCGAUUUUCUCAAAUAUUUAAAUACAUAUCAAAAUAUCGGGAUUUAAACACAGAUAUAAAUAUCAAAUGAAAUCACGUUCGACAAAUAUUUGCACAUCAUGGGCACAUCAAAGGAAGGAUUAAGUGAACUUGCCUGGUGUCCUUUGAUAUUUAUAUAAAAUAUUCUUGUCUCAAAUUGAGCUCGCCUUCCAGAUAGUAGAUAUUCUAUGUCACACAAAAUAGUGAAUUUAGUAGUCUUUACUUUAAAUAAUCUCGAAUAAUCUACUAUAAAUUCAUAAUUUAUAGUUCCUCGUUUUGAUAAUAUUUAGAUUGUUUUUCUAUUAUCCGUUAAAUCAUCAAAUAAUGGACUUUAAUUAAAUAAUUAUCUCUUUUUUUAUUAAUCUAAGAAAUCCACUUGAAUUAUUUGCUAAUCCAAUCUUUAAAUCUAGAAUUAUAAAUCUCUACUUACAAAUCAUUCACAGAUAUCCCUAAUUUGUUCCACUCUUAUAAUUACAUCGAUUUCCCGAUUUCUCACUUCUUCUAAAUGACCUCCUUAACCAAUUAUUGACCACAUCCAUAAAUUCAAAUAUUACCUAUUAAAUCAUCCAAAAUAUAAAUUUAUCUAAUAUAUCUCGAACCCAAAAUUAAACUUCAUCAUUAAAUCUGAAAAAUCAUUUACUUAAAUUUUCAUAUUUUACACUUUUACUAAUUCCAUCAUUUAAUCACUCAAAUUAAUUAAAUACUAGUCUUUAAUAUUCUAGCCAAUCAAAAACUGCCACAUCAUCAUCUUCUCCAACACACCAAUCAAGUUUUCUCUCUCCUCGAAGUCAACAUUCAUGGCUAACUUUGACCAUCUAUAACUCUCUCAUUUUUCACUCAAAUCAUUUGAUUAAAGAGCCCUUUCCAUGUAUUUUUUCACAAGGAAUCCAAAUACGUAAUUUAUUUUACAAUCCGACAUCAAAUUUAUGCACAGCGAAUUAUUUAUCAGAUUUUCUUUUCUUAAAUUAAAUCACUAAACUCCCUACACUCAUCUCCCUCAUCUCUUCCCUCCUCCUUCUUCUUUAACCAAUCACCACCACUGCCGGCCGGAGUAAACUCCGGCGGCAAGCUGCCGUUGUUCCUCCUCCCCUCUCUCUCUCUCUUGCUUUUCCUUCCUCUCCCCUGCUAUCUCUCCCUCUCUCGCUUGCCGCUCCUCCCCUCUGCUCAUCUCCGCCGCGAGGCUCCGUCGGCAACGCCGAUCGGAGCUCCGGCCGACCACCACCAUCCUAUUCCCCGACCCGAAAACGAUCCAACCCCUCAAUCAAUUCAAACCCUCAUCACAGCAAGCAAAAGUCAAGUUUCAAACCCCAAAUGACAAAAUCCCUAAUUUUAUAACUAUGUUAACAAAAAUCCCCAAUUCUCAAGUGUAUAUAUAUGUAUAUGGAGUAUGGACUUGCAUUUUUCUUACUAAAACAAGCAUCUUCCAAGAAAAUGAUACAGCAGUAAAAUCUAAAGAAUUGGGACCACAUCAAUGUAAGCUCAAUUGGAUCCUUCAUGUAAUAUUUAAAAUAACAACUCAUAAAAUCUAAGAGAUUAAAUGAAUAAUCUUACCUUAAGUGUAGAAAAUUGUUCUUCUCAAACUCUUUAAUUGCUUCCUCCUCUUUACUCUUCUCUUCAUAAUCUCCAUAAUUUUCUCUUCUG